AGGGGAAGAGGGCCUUUGCCGCCGUUCGCGUCAGGGCGAGUUCCGGGACGUCAGUGCGGUCUCCGCCAAUGGUUGCAAGAAAAACUCCUCGGCCCCUCGGACCAUCUUUCCUGUUUCCAAAUGCCGGGGACCAGUGUCUGUGACUGCGCCGCCUGCCUGAGGGCAUGUACUGAAAAGCCCUGCGACUCCAACAUGUGGGACUCACAAGCACCUUGGACAGGCCUCAAAACGCGGCUGACAUACAGAAUUUUUACCAUUAACGACCUGAGGCAGGACUGGUGGAGGUCAGUUCAUUAGUUACUGAUCUCAAGAAACAAGUCAGGACUAUUUUCUAAUGUGCUUCUUUCAAGUUAGUGUGGAAAGAGCUGAUGCAUCUGUUGUAGCUGACGGAAUUUAAGGAACUGAAUAAUUGACAAGAUUUCCAGAAAAGCAGGGUCGCCAGAUAAUGCUACCUGUUUGCGAAUGAUUGUUACCGUAAUGCUCUAGAGAGCUAAUCCUUUCUCGGCCUAGUCAGAUGAUUUUAAAUCAUUUGAUUUUACAGAGCUUUAGUUUCAGUUUUUUAAAUGAAAAUGGGGAUGGGAUUAGGUCAUCUUCUAACACCCACGACAGCCAUAAAUUGAUAAUCUAUGGAUCCAUAUUUAAAGUUACUGAUAAAAAUAACCACAAUUGACCAGCCUCCCUUCCCUGUUAGGAAAUGCUUUAUAUUUUAAUUUAGCAACCCAUGUGACCAACCCUUUUAGAAUUGAACUGGCUCUCCCUAGGAAAGGUUAGAAAUCUAAUCAGUUAUAGUAAGUUUCUGUUAACAAAUGGGGAGUGGUCGACUUGGAGUUUGGAAAAGGGGAGCGUAAAGUCUAAAAGUUUGUUAAUUUAUCUAGCCGUUGCUCCAGGAGGACCUGUGUUAUAGUUUGGAAACAUUUACAAAGGGUAUUUUUGUGGGGCAGAAAACAGUUAGCAGUCCUUAAUGUAAUUUGGUUGAAAUAACCGUUCAAACCAGACUCCUCCUGUUGCUUUGAUUCCUUUUUCGCAAACUUUCUUAUGUUCUACGUAUCCAGGUGCUCCUGAUGGCCAGCAAUAGACUUGAGACAUUGGAAGAAUGUAUAGCCUUAGCGUCUAUUUAGUGUUAAGAUUUUGUAAGUCUAAUUACUGUGAAAUAGUCCUGGUAACUUUAUCGAUUCUGGAUACAAAGAAAAAUGCAAAGUGAAAGACCUUUGGAAAUUGCUAUUCACACCAGAGUACUCUAUGAGACAUUACAUAGGUGAUCAAGAAGAGUGAUCACCUGGCUGCACUUUAGGGUAUGUUUGUCCAGGUUUUUCUAAUAAGUUAAUUCUAAUCAAUAACUUUUGUUCUAAUUAGUAACUUUUGUAUAAAUGUUAAUGUUAAAUCGCGAAACAAUGUGGGAUGGGAUACUAAGUUCUCUCCAGGAACAUGAAAUGUCAGCCCAUUUAUUCACAUCUUUUUGUCCUCCCUAUUGUAUUGGUCCAGAUUUGUUGUUCAUCCUGACUGUAUGCUGUUUUUAGACAUUAGUUAUUUUUUAUGCUUUUGUCUAAACAAGCUCUGGCCGGGCGCCAUGGCUCACACCUGUAAUCCCAGGCCUUUGGGAGGCCGAGGUAGGCAGGUCACCUGAGGUGGAGAGUUUGAGACCAGCUUGACCAACACGGUUAAACCCUGUCUCUACUUUUAAAAAAAAUACAAAAAUUAGCCGGGCAUGGAGGCACACGUCAGUAAUCCCAGCUGCUUGGGAGGCUGUGGCACGAGAAUCACUUGAACUCAAGAGGCGGAGGUUGCAGUGAGCUGAAAUUGCCCCACUGCACUCCAGUC
This is a long non-coding RNA of Homo sapiens (human), 1818 nucleotides long. The record is from Ensembl. Lineage: Eukaryota; Metazoa; Chordata; Mammalia; Primates; Hominidae.